RNAcentral lists this ribosomal RNA (254 nucleotides) under uncultured bacterium. Its description in RNAcentral is "partial 16S ribosomal RNA". It matches the Rfam family "Bacterial small subunit ribosomal RNA", at positions 524 to 776 of the family's 1533-position model. The record is from RNAcentral.
UACGGGGGGGGCAAGCGUUGUUCGGAAUUACUGGGCGUAAAGGGCGCGUAGGCGGCCUGCUAAGUCGGACGUGAAAUCCCUCGGCUCAACCGGGGAACUGCGUCCGAUACUGGCGAGGCUUGAAUCCGGGAGAGGGAUGUGGAAUUCCAUGUGUAGCGGUGAAAUGCGUAGAUAUAUGGAGGAACACCAGUGGCGAAGGCGGCUUUCUGGACGACUACUGACGCUGAGGCGCGAAAGCGUGGGGAGCAAACAGG